GCACCCGCGGUAAUUCCAGCACCAAUAGCGUAUAUUAAUGCUGCUGCUGUUAAAAAGCUCGUAGUUGGAUCAAGAGCUCCACAGUGCACGGUGGCCCCGUUGUCUGGCUGGUCUACGGGUCGGUCAGGCACGGCGGAAUCACCCCGUGCGCCACGCUGUGGACUCUAACAGACCGAAACGGUUCCCUGUGAGUAGGCUCCUUUAUUGGGGCUGAAAGCGCCUACGCAUCAACCAUAUGCAUACGGGACGUCGGUCAAUGUUACUGUGAACAAACCAGCGUGUCCAAAGCAGGCUCAGCCUGAAUGUUCGAGCAUGGAAUAACAAGGGAUCGAUUCUCUCGGUUCUUUUUGUUGGUUUUUAGCCCGAGAAGGAGUAAUUCAGGUCACGGUGUCUGAGUUGGGUUCCCCUGCCUUCGGGUCAGGCCCCAAUUAGGCCGUGGCCUUACGGGAUCAAUAGGGACUGACGGGGUCGUACCUACUUCCGCGUCAGAGGUGAAAUUCUUAGAUCGCGGGAAGAGGAACUUCUGCGAAAGCAUUCGACAAGAAUGUCUUCAUUAAUCAAGAACGAGAGUGUGGGGAUCGAAGAUGAUCAGAUACCGUCGUAGUCCACUACUGUAAACAAUGCCGUCUCAGGAUUGAGAAGUGAACCAAAUGACUUUCACAGCACUAACCCCUGAAACGAGAAAUCAAAGAUUAUGGGUUCAGGGGGGAGUACAUUCGCAAGGCUGAAACUUAAAGGAAUUGACGGAAUGACACCACAAGGCGUGGAGUAUGCGGCUUAAUUUGACUCAACACGGGGAAUUUUACUAUGUCAGGACAAUGUAAGGAUUGACAGAUUGAGAGCUCUUUCUCGAUCCAUUGUGUGGUGGUGCAUGGCCGCUCCUGGUCGGUGGAGUGAUUUGUCUGGUUGAUUCCGUUAACGGACGAGAUCUCGACCCUUAAAUAGGUGCCCUCGUCGGCUGUAGUCUCGGCUCCGCCGGCUUGCUGGAUUGGAACGGGACGAGACUGUGGGAAUACUUCUUAAGGGGACUGUGUGCGUCUAUAGCACGCGGAAGAGCGAGCCAAUAGCAGGUCUGUGAUGCUCCUAAAUGUCCUAGGUUGCACGCGCACUACACUGAUGCAAUAAACGAGUCUGAGUGCCUUCUCGGCAACCUACCUGGAAGCGGGUGGGAAAUCUUUUGAACUUGCAUCGUGAUGAG
RNAcentral lists this ribosomal RNA (1198 nucleotides) under uncultured marine diplonemid. Its description in RNAcentral is "bacterial SSU rRNA". It matches the Rfam family "Eukaryotic small subunit ribosomal RNA", at positions 570 to 1574 of the family's 1831-position model. Lineage: Eukaryota; Euglenozoa; Diplonemea. The record is from RNAcentral.